CCCACUUUCAUUUUCUAUGUUCAGUGGACCGUGAAAUUGGUGUUAAAAGUCUAAUUUGGCUUUAAAAUUAGAAAGAUCAUAUCAUAAGCAACAAGUGUACUAAGUUUCAAGUUGAUUGGACUUCAGCUUCAUCAAAAACUACCUUGACCAAAAACUUUACCCUGAACGGACGCACAGACGGACGAACGAACAGAGCCACAGACCAGAAAACAUAAUGCCCCUCUACUAUCGUAGGUGGGGCAUAAAAAU
This 249-nucleotide long non-coding RNA is filed under the name Mytilus galloprovincialis (Mediterranean mussel). The record is from RNAcentral. Lineage: Eukaryota; Metazoa; Mollusca; Bivalvia; Mytilida; Mytilidae.